UACGUAGGGGGCGAGCGUUAUCCGGAUUUAUUGGGCGUAAAGGGCGUGUAGGCGGUAGAUUAAGUUGGUUGUAAAAGGCAAUGGCUCAACCAUUGUAAGCGACCAAAACUGGUUUACUUGAGUGCAGAAGAGGAGAGUAGAAUUCCCGGUGUAGCGGUGGAAUGCGUAGAGAUCGGGAGGAAUACCAGUGGCGAAGGCGGCUCUCUGGUCUGUAACUGACGCUGAGGCGCGAAAGCGUGGGGAGCAAACAGGAUUAGAUACCCUGGUAGUCCACGCUGUAAACGAUGAGUGCUAGGUGUUGGGGGUUUAGGCCCUCAGUGCCGGAGGUAACCCAAUAAGCACUCCGCCUGGGGAGUACGGCCGCAAGGUUGAA
Molecule: ribosomal RNA, 373 nt
Filed under: uncultured bacterium
Lineage: Bacteria
Description: bacterial SSU rRNA
Rfam family: Bacterial small subunit ribosomal RNA
Source: RNAcentral